UUGCUCUGUCUUCAUCACAGCGACAGUUGAUGACAAUGCGGGCUGAAGGCGCAGUGACCAGCGUCCGCCGCCAGGGGGAGCCGUGAGGCAGAGCGCGCACCUCAAACAACUCGAGCCUCCCUACAUAGGCGCACUACAUAGGGCACGAAGUAAUGGUUUCUAAACCCUUCAUAGUGCACUAUAUAUCCACUUCGGAGCUUUUAGGGAUACAAGCAAGCCCUACGUUUAGUAAGAGUGAGCUGGGGUUGGUGGUGUAAUAUAGAGUUAUUGCUAUAUGUGGUAAUGGACAUUGUACUACAGCGUCAGAGUGAAGAGGAAAUAACAGCUCAGUGUUUUCUGAACAAGACAACUGUGUGACGUAGUUUCUUGAACAAUCAGCACCAUGUGAAAUUAAAUGGAUGAAAUGGAAAUCAGUCAGAAUGCUGAAUAUAAUGCAAAGAGUUUUUCUUCUCGAACAUCCUCUUCUGGGGGACUCGGCAGUGGAGCCCUCACUCUGCUGCUCUCCAUGAUCCCUUCACCAUCAGGAGUGUGUGAAAGAGGACUAAGUUUCUGACAGGAUAGCACAGAAACCGGAGUCAGCAAAAAACUGCAACCCCUGCAAAAAGCCUGUCCUCGUGACCCUCAGUACUUUGAAUCCAGCAUAACUGCCAUCAUUGCUGUGCUCGUUAAAUAUUUCCUUGUGCUACAGUGUAAUUAACUCCGUCUUCAUGCUGAAGUGAGGCGGUAAGGAGGUGUGUGGUGGCAGAUGACGAUGUUUAAUAAUAUAAUAUAAUUAUAUAUCAGGAAUUUUAAUUCAGAUACUACUCACUGGACUAAAUACAGUACAAAGUGUACCUUA
Pangasianodon hypophthalmus (striped catfish) is the source of this 838-nucleotide long non-coding RNA. RefSeq lists it as uncharacterized. The transcript has 3 exons. Lineage: Eukaryota; Metazoa; Chordata; Actinopteri; Siluriformes; Pangasiidae. The record is from RefSeq and is a predicted model, not a curated record.